Molecule: long non-coding RNA, 2883 nt
Organism: Neopsephotus bourkii (Bourke's parrot)
Lineage: Eukaryota; Metazoa; Chordata; Aves; Psittaciformes; Psittacidae
Exons: 2
Source: RefSeq, a predicted model, not a curated record
UUGGCCAGGUGUUUAGUUUUUAUUUACAGAAAACAAGUUCUAAAAUGGAGCAAACAUUCAUGCGAUUUGAGCCUGAAUGCUGUAAUAUGCAAACAGCAUGUAUUAUUUUUAUCAGCAGCAUUGAGGGAUUCCAGUACUAUUUAAUUAGAUAAAUUUUCUUUUGAUCUUACUGCCAAGCAGAAAUAGAUCCUCUUGUGAUUAAAAGAUGAAUUUCUCUAUAAGUAGCUCUUUCUUUAGACAGCCCAGAUUCCGCUAAAUGUAACCUUGUAGUCUACCUGUGGUCGAGAGGCAUGGCGUGAAGUGUCAGCGUGAGCUUUUGUCCCUGUUUUAUAUAUUGUUUGCCUAGCGUACUUCCCAAACAGAGUGAUUGCUCACCUGUGACCUUCAUUCUGUGUGUCACCAGAAAGUGAUGGGAGCACCCACACAGAGGUGGGAAUUUAUGACGCGGGAUUGUGGGACAGCCCAUGAAUAGUGUUCUCUGAGCAAUACCUGAAUGGGUUGUGCCCAGAUCAUUCCCUAGUGAAUCAAAAUAACACCUGAGCUUGCUUUUUCUUCACCACUACCUAUCGUAUUGGAGAGGGUGGCUGCAAAUUCCCAUGCUGGUUUGCUUUGGCACUGGCUGUGUUAUUAGGAUAGUUGUAGAAAUAAUGUUUGUGUUGCAUUAUGACACAGCAUAUACCUAUCUCUCCAUCUGUGUGUAGGUGGGGGUGUGUAGCACAUCACAGUAGUUACUGGCACAUGAGUCUAAGAUAAAACACUAACAGUAUCAUGCAGUUCCUCCAGAUUUUAGGCCUCUUCAUGCAGUUGUUGCAGGCAUAUAAAAUUGCACUGGUACAAAGACAGAUCAGGCUUACUGUUUCCAGUGGAAGUCCCACUUGCAGAACACCAUACCAAGCUCUCAUCAGUCUAUGCUGAUCACUGUGACAUGCCGUGUGUAUGCAGCUGAGGCUGUCAAAGAUAAACUCAGAAGAACCACAGAGCCUCUUUCUCUUCUUGCACUGCUCUGCUCUUGAGUUAUGCUCUUACCUCAUAUAUAUUGGUGCAAGUAGUGGCAUCAUAGUCAUAGGUGCCUGCUGGCCUUGGAGCUGUUCUUAAUUUAGGUCUAAGCCAGCAAAACAUUUCUGCAUGCAUUAAAAUGUCCUGCAGGUCGAGAGGAACAUCCUUAUGCCCAGUACUUUGCUGACCUGUGACUUCAUUGUAAUCAGAAAGGAGAACUGGGGGUACUCAACCUUCUCCUCAUUCAUUUUAGUCACUUGAACAGGGUCUGCAUAAUUUGUUUCAUAAGAAUGGAUUUCUGUUUGGAGGAGAAAGAAGUGUGUGUGCAUGUGUGUGCGUGUGUCUGUGAUUGUGUGUGGGAGCUGGGUCGAGUAGCACUGCUAUGAAUGGAAAGGCCUUUUGCAGCCAGUGUGACACAGUCACAGGAGUAAGCUUUAGCUAAUAAAAAAGCCUGGAAGCCAGAUUUUGUAUUGUCUUGCAUCUGUACAGAUCUUAAGGGCGGUCAGUAGGGUUGUUUCAGAUUUGCACUGAUUUGUAUUUGUUGGCGUUGGUAGAACUUGACUUACUUCCAGUAAGAAUGGAGGUGUUGGCUUAGGGAGGGCUUCUCGCAGUAACAUAUCCACUAUGCCUGUUUUUUGCAGUUGAAAGGAGUAAUAUUAUUUGCUGGCAUAGCCAGUCUUGCAGAGAUAACAGCUACUAACAGUUUCUGCAUCCCUAUCAAGUGCAGCGAGAAUAGGAGUGGUUUGCGCUUCCAGGUGAUGAGAUCUCUAUAUGAUAAAGCACCAUCAAAUUGAAAAUUAGAUUCAGCAUAAAUGGAGUUUCCAGCGUUUUCACUAUAUAAAAUCAAGCAUUUGGUGUGUAACUCGUGUUUUGGCUGCAGCUUCUGCAAUAGGAGCGCUGCAGGUUUAGUUUGCCACUAAAGUGGGAAGAAGAAAAAGUGAACUUGAACUGAAUUGCCUUUGCAAAGGUGGAGGGCAGUGAAUAUGCUACACUGGCUACAGAAGGGCCUGUUAGUUGUGUAGAAAUGUGCCCAUUUGCAGUGAUCUCAGACACUGUAACAAUGCAGUAGGAGGAAACGGUUGCUACUUCACCGUCUAUUGAGCUUGAAACUUACUUGGGGCAAAUCAAAUUAGAAUAAGCCAACUGAAAUCAAGGCAGUAAUACUGGUGUCUAUCAGCUGAGACCUGGCUCAAAAUAAAUGGACAAAAUCCCUCCAACUGGCUUGAUAUUUCAAGGUUUGUUAUGGUAUGCUUGUAUGUCAGUUUUGAUUAUAGUAAAUGCUAAGAAAUGCUAAGAAAUGUUCUCAUGUGGGAUGAUUGUCCUGUAUUUUCUAGUAUAUAGCAUCAUCCAAAACUUGCAAAAAGUGGAUAUCUAAUGCUUCCCCAAAUCCAAGAGAAAAACGUGGAUUAGGAGGAUCUUUGGCUAGCAACACAGAUGUGACAUGGCACAAGGCACAAAGCAGCGGGGAUGGAAACCCCAUGUGUUUAAAGCUGAUACAGAACCACGUUGAUCAAAGCAUGUUUAUGGCCAUCUUUCAACCUCAGUGCAUGUAUUGCCAUCUGUGAGAGUAGACUGCAGAGCAGACGGUCCUAAAUCGAGGGGGGGGGGUGAGGGAAGAAAGGAAAAGAAUCAGCUCCUCGUCUGAAUGAGUGAGCAUAACAAUGAAUGACAUAUUUCCUGAACUGUACCAGUUCAAAUGCAUGUGCACCUGGUGCUCCUAAUGCUUUUUACUCCUGUUGGUCUUUAGACAACAUGAUCAGUAAUAUGCUUUCUCUCUUUAUUUGUAUGUUGGUUUUAUUGUUGUUAUUUCAUUUUGGGUUUUUUUUAGAAAAACACAUUUCACUGAGAAAACAGCCCUACUUCUGUAAAUAUAGAGUUUAAUUUGGA